This 315-nucleotide ribosomal RNA is filed under the name Pergalumna nervosa. RNAcentral's name for it is "eukaryotic LSU rRNA". It matches the Rfam family "Eukaryotic large subunit ribosomal RNA", at positions 666 to 944 of the family's 3401-position model. The record is from RNAcentral. Lineage: Eukaryota; Metazoa; Arthropoda; Arachnida; Sarcoptiformes; Galumnidae.
CCAAGGAGUCUAACAUGUGCGCGAGUCACUCGGUCUUGUUUAGGCCAGAGAGGCGCAAUGAAAGUAAAGUUGAUUGAGUUACGAUCCCUAUGCGGUCACUCCUAGUGGGUGACGGUGGGGCGCAGUAACAGCCCGCUAAUUUCGCUUAUUGACGAUCUGGCGGAGUUGUAGCGUACACGUUGGUACCCGAAAGAUGGUGAACUAUGCCUGGGCAAGACGAAGUCAGAGGAAACUCUGAUGGAGGUCUGUAGCGAUUCUGACGUGCAAAUCGAUCGUCAGACCUGGGUAUAGGGGCGAAAGACUAAUCGAACCAUC